CUGACAGCGUACCUUUGUAUAAUGGGUCAGCGACUUAAUUUAACGAGCAAGCUUAAGCCGAUAGGUGUAGGCGCAGCGAAAGCGAGUCUGAAUAGGGCGUCAAGUUCGUUGGAUUAGACCCGAAACCGAGUGAUCUAGCCAUGGCCAGGUUGAAGGUGCGGUAACACGCACUGGAGGACCGAACCCACGCCUGUUGAAAAAGUCG
RNAcentral lists this ribosomal RNA (205 nucleotides) under uncultured Symbiodinium. Its description in RNAcentral is "partial Bacterial large subunit ribosomal RNA". It matches the Rfam family "Bacterial large subunit ribosomal RNA", at positions 593 to 800 of the family's 2925-position model. The record is from RNAcentral. Lineage: Eukaryota; Dinophyceae; Suessiales; Symbiodiniaceae.